AGUGGCGAACGGGUGAGUAAUACAUCGGAACGUGUCCUGUAGUGGGGGAUAGCCCGGCGAAAGCCGGAUUAAUACCGCAUACGCUCUACGGAGGAAAGGGGGGGAUCUUAGGACCUCUCGCUACAGGGGCGGCCGAUGGCAGAUUAGCUAGUUGGUGGGGUAAAGGCCUACCAAGGCGACGAUCUGUAGCUGGUCUGAGAGGACGACCAGCCACACUGGGACUGAGACACGGCCCAGACUCCUACGGGAGGCAGCAGUGGGGAAUUUUGGACAAUGGGGGCAACCCUGAUCCAGCAAUGCCGCGUGUGUGAAGAAGGCCUUCGGGUUGUAAAGCACUUUUGUCCGGAAAGAAAUCCUUUGGGCCAAUACCCUGAGGGGAUGACGGUACCGGAAGAAUAAGCACCGGCUAACUACGUGCCAGCAGCCGCGGUAAUACGUAGGGUGCAAGCGUUAAUCGGAAGUACUGGGCGUAAAGCGUGCGCAGGCGGUUCGCUAAGACAGAUGUGAAAUCCCCAGGCUUAACCUGGGAACUGCAUUUGU
RNAcentral lists this ribosomal RNA (540 nucleotides) under uncultured bacterium. RNAcentral's name for it is "bacterial SSU rRNA". It matches the Rfam family "Bacterial small subunit ribosomal RNA", at positions 94 to 630 of the family's 1533-position model. The record is from RNAcentral.